GGGAAUAUUGCACAAUGGGCGCAAGCCUGAUGCAGCCAUGCCGCGUGUGUGAAGAAGGCCUUCGGGUUGUAAAGCACUUUCAGCGAGGAGGAAGGGUUCAGUGUUAAUAGCACUGUUCAUUGACGUUACUCGCAGAAGAAGCACCGGCUAACUCCGUGCCAGCAGCCGCGGUAAUACGGAGGGUGCAAGCGUUAAUCGGAAUUACUGGGCGUAAAGCGCACGCAGGCGGUUUGUUAAGUCAGAUGUGAAAUCCCCGCGCUUAACGUGGAACUGC
This 274-nucleotide ribosomal RNA is filed under the name uncultured bacterium. RNAcentral's name for it is "partial 16S ribosomal RNA". It matches the Rfam family "Bacterial small subunit ribosomal RNA", at positions 357 to 624 of the family's 1533-position model. The record is from RNAcentral.